GACCUUCUUUGGAUCCUACUUCUUGGGCUUAAUCUCAUUAUUUUGCUUCUUCGCAGAUUUUUUCUUGUUCUUAAAAGAAGACUUUCUUUUAGAAGAAGCCCGCUCCACAGUCAGAACUGUGUCCCUUGAACUCUUCAAAGUGCCCUCUGCUGUUACCAGCAUAUUCAAUAACUCGGGCAAAGUGCUAUCUAUUUUAUUCAUAUGGUAGUUCAUGAUUAAUUACUUAUACGAAUCA
RNAcentral lists this long non-coding RNA (235 nucleotides) under Elaeis guineensis (African oil palm). Its description in RNAcentral is "long non-coding RNA (EGUI_LNC040310)". The record is from RNAcentral. Lineage: Eukaryota; Viridiplantae; Streptophyta; Magnoliopsida; Arecales; Arecaceae.